AGAGUUUGAUCCUGGCUCAGAACGAACGCUGGCGGCAGGCCUAACACAUGCAAGUCGAACGCACCGCAAGGUGAGUGGCGCACGGGUGAGUAACACGUGGGAAUGUACCCUUUGGUUCGGAAUAACGUUUGGAAACGAACGCUAAUACCGGAUGAGCCCUACGGGGGGAAGAUUUAUCGCCAAAGGAGCAGCCCGCGUCUGAUUAGCUAGUUGGUGGGGUAAAGGCCUACCAAGGCGACGAUCAGUAGCUGGUCUGAGAGGAUGAUCAGCCACACUGGGACUGAGACACGGCCCAGACUCCUACGGGAGGCAGCAGUGGGGAAUAUUGGACAAUGGGCGGAAGCCUGAUCCAGCCAUGCCGCGUGAGUGAUGAAGGCCUUCGGGUUGUAAAGCUCUUUCGCACACGACGAUGAUGACGGUAGUGUGAGAAGAAGCCCCGGCUAACUUCGUGCCAGCAGCCGCGGUAAUACGAAGGGGACUAGCGUUGUUCGGAAUUACUAGGCGUAAAGGGCGCGUAGGCGGCUUAUCAAGUCAGGCGUGAAAGCCCCGGGCUUAACCUGGGAACUGCGCUUGAGACUGGUAGGCUAGAGUACCGGAGAGGUAGGUGGAAUUCCCAGUGUAGAGGUGAAAUUCGUAGAUAUUGGGAAGAACACCAGUGGCGAAGGCGGCCUACUGGACGGUAACUGACGCUGAGGCGCGAAAGCGUGGGGAGCAAACAGGAUUAGAUACCCCUGGUAGUCCACGCUGUAAACGAUGUCGGCUAGACGUUGGGGCCCUUAGGGUUUCAGUGUCGCAGCUAACGCAUUAAGCCGACCGCCUGGGGAGUACGGCCGCAAGGUUGAAACUCAAAGGAAUUGACGGGGGCCCGCACAAGCGGUGGAGCAUGUGGUUUAAUUCGAAGCAACGCGCAGAACCUUACCAACCCUUGACAUGCCUUGACCGAUGCAGAGAUGCAUCUUUCCUUUCGGGGACAGGGACACAGGUGCUGCAUGGCCGUCGUCAGCUCGUGUCGUGAGAUGUUGGGUUAAGUCCCGCAACGAGCGCAACCCCCACUGUUAGUUGCCAUCAUUAAGUUGGGCACUCUAGCAGAACUGCCGGUGACAAGCCGGAGGAAGGCGGGGAUGACGUCAAGUCCUCAUGGCCCUUACGGGUUGGGCUACACACGUGCUACAAUGGUGGUGACAGUGGGCAGCGACCACGCGAGUGGAAGCGAAUCUCCAAAAGCCAUCUCAGUUCGGAUUGCACUCUGCAACUCGGGUGCAUGAAGUUGGAAUCGCUAGUAAUCGCGGAUCAGCACGCCGCGGUGAAUACGUUCCCGGGCCUUGUACACACCGCCCGUCACACCAUGGGAGUUGGCUUUACCUGAAGCCGGUGCGCUAACCGCAAGGAGGCAGCCGACCACGGUACGGUCAGCGACUGGGGUGAAGUCGUAACAAGGUAA
Molecule: ribosomal RNA, 1441 nt
Filed under: uncultured bacterium
Lineage: Bacteria
Description: bacterial SSU rRNA
Rfam family: Bacterial small subunit ribosomal RNA
Source: RNAcentral